Molecule: long non-coding RNA, 6193 nt
Filed under: Sus scrofa (pig)
Lineage: Eukaryota; Metazoa; Chordata; Mammalia; Artiodactyla; Suidae
Description: lncRNA (ENSSSCG00035073158.1)
Source: RNAcentral
GUAAUUCAUUUCUGUUGUAUUUUAUAAAAGCAUUUAAUCCACAAAGGACUAGAAAAAGAACCAAAGCCCCCAAAUUUGGUCCUGUCUAUACUAUUCAGUUUCUUGAAACUUCUCUCUCUCUUUUUUUUUUGUUUUUGUCUUUUUAGCGCUGCACCCGUGGCCUAUGGAAGUUCCCAGGCUAGAGGUUGAAUCAGAGCUACAGCUGCCGGCCUAUACCCCAGCCACAGCAACGUGGGAUCUGAGCCAUGUCUGCAACCUACACCACAGCUCAUGGCAUACCGGAUCCCCGACCCACUGAGCAAAGCCAAGGAUCGAACCCUCAUCCUUGCGGAUACUAGUCAGAUUCGUUUCCACUCUGCCACAACGGGAACUCUGCAACACGGUAUCCUUAACCCACUGAGUGAGGCUAGGGAUCGAACCUGCAUCCUCAUGGAUACUAGUCGGGUUCAUUAACUGCUGAGCCACGAGGGGAACUCUGCAGCUUCUUCUUAAUCUGCAGUUAUUUCAAAUAGGAAGUUAACAAAUGCAAAGAAUGUUUUGGAAAAAAAAGCUGAUCUCUGACCUCAGAUAGUUAGAGAAGUGCUAUUUAAAGCACCAGCCUUGGACUGAAUCAGCUAGACAGGGAAAGGAUAACUGUAAAAAAAAAUCACUAAGUUCAUGGUCAGUGUUAUGGCGAGUCCAGCCAUAACACUGAGGAUGCGAUCUAUUGCUACCUUUUCCAUCCAUUAUCUAUAAUAACGCUGUGUAAGAAAACCAACCACAUACACACAAAGCCCAGUGAUAUAAAGCAGGGAACACUCAUUAUCUCACUGUUAGCUCGGCUGGGAGUGGCUGGUCCAGGAGGGCCUCAGACCUGACAGCCUGGCUCUGGCCCACAGGGUCACGGUCUUCAGCGGCCUUGUUUCCAUGAACGAUGCAAAGUUCCAAGAGAGCACACGGCAGGUGGCAAGGCCUCUCCAGGCUUGGGCUCAGAACUGGCAUUCUCAUUGGGUUCCAUGGGCAAGCCAUGAGGCCAGGACAGAUUCCAGGGGUGGAAGAAUGGCUUCCACUUGGUGGGAUGCUGGAUAAAGGGAGCAGAAGAAUCAGGUAACAACAAGGUCCUACGGUAGAGCACAGGGAACUACAUUCAAUAUUCUGUGAUAAACCAUAAUGGACAAGAAUAUGAAAAAGAAUAUAUAUAUGUAUAAUGUAUAUAUCACUGAAUCGCAUUGCUGUACAGCAGAAAUUAACACAACCUUGUAAGUCAACUAUACCUUCAUAAAAAUUAAUGAACAUUGAUAAAAUAAAACAGACUAUGUCCGAAAAAGAGUGGGGAAGAAUAAGGACCAUUUUACAACCAACACACCAGGCCCUGAUAAUUAUAUGAGCCUCCACAUUUUCCAGAAAGUCAGAUCGAGCUCACAUUUCAGAUAUUAGUGCCUGACUUCCCGGCCCUAAAGGCUGUGAUGAAACGCCGCCCCUCUCCUUCUUAGGAACCAAAAUAGACACCAUUAAUUGAUCCCUGUACUCUGCUGAUGAACUUGGAAGUGACUUUAGAAUCCUCAGAAUUGGAUUUGCAAGCUGAAAUCUAUCACUCACCAUGGCAAUUAUGGACAGACAGGAGCACCUUAGGAGCCAAGACCCCUCGGAGGGCAGUGCGUUUGCAUGGUGUGGGUAAUGACAGCUGACUCCACCUCCUCAGGCAUUAAUCUCAGACUUGUGUGGUCACUGUAGCCCAGUUAGAAGGCCUGUGGAUAUCUGUCUACAACCUGAAAAGUGAAAGAACAGUCAGGCGCAUGUCAAGACAAGCAUAUGUUCUCCCACCUACAGUGGGCUGCAUUAGGCUGCAUGAAGGGUGAGGGGCAGUGCUUGGAGCACCUCUGGGUUAAUGUACAGCAAAGUUCUGCUAGUUUGGGGGAUCAUCAAGGACAAUGAAUGUGGUUAGAAUACUAGAAAUUCUCAGGAAUGGCACAAACGUAGCCUGAACACACUGGGUCUGAGUUCAGGGCAUGGAUGGAAUCCUAUUUUGGAUGCUCUCCUAUAGCCCUGGGAGACUGAAGGAGAAGGUGGAGGGAACUGGGCCCUGCAAGGGAAGAGGAGGAUCUCCCUUCUGCAGGAAUGGUGCCCUUGCCCAGCUGGCCAGGAGGGGCCAUGGCUGAACCUAGAGCAGGUGAGCCAUGAAGAUGGCCUGGAAGCAUGGGCAUAGUGCUUGACAAAGCCAAAGGUCUCCUGAACUUGGCAUUGGUUGAAGUCUGUCUCCAUAACAAUGAUAAGCUUUCCAAAGAACAAUUGUGGAGCCUGAGGAUGUAAGAGGGGCAGAAACUAUCCUUUGGCUUUUCUUCAGCAGCAUCUCUGUGCUGGACCCAGGGAUAAAAAAAAAGUUGCAUAAUCAUAUUGAACCUUUACACUAAUUCAAUAAGAUGGUAGCCCCAUUUUCCAGGGAGCCGUGAAUGGUUGAGUGAUUUACACAAGGUUCCAUGGGGACUCGGUUAGAGAGUCAGUAUUUAACUGAGAUAUGCGACAUUAAAGCCUGUCUCCUUCACCACGAUGCUCUACGACCUCUCAGGAUUUGAGAGCUUUGAAAAAGGUAGGGGUUGCCCUGGUCUGUUCCAGGGAUAAGGGUAAGUGAGCCUCGGUAGUGGAGAAGCAGUGGGGUUUGGAACCAGGGAGGAUGAAGCAGCCAUAGGCAGGUAGAUCAUGGGCAUAGCAUGGAUCUGAACUGCUUUCCCACGGAGUCCCUGAAAGACACAGACCCCAGUGACAUUCCCUGUGUGCUUUGUUUGGCCAUGUAGGACUCACCCAGCCCACCGAGAGGCAGGUCCCAAUAGCAGGUGGACCGGGCAUCGACUUGGGGGCUUAAGUGCAUGACACAACUUCAGGGGUGAAAAGCUGCCCAUCACACAAGUCCAGGAAGAGGGAGCAGGGGUGUACCGAGAGCAGGAAGUGGGGGAAGGCAACUGGGGAGGCAUAAACAGGUAGUAGAAGUCUACCUGGGCAGUCAGCCUGGAGAGACCUGACAGGCACAGGAGGGGGGACAGAGUAACAGAGCCUAGGUCUCAGGGGCCAGGUGACUCCCACAAGGCAGAUAAUGCAGAGACAAAAGCACAAGAGAGGGAUGAUUCUAAGAUGCACCCCCUCCUCAGCCCCCAACUUCCCCCAUUACCAGACCCAAGACCAACCACAGAAGGGGGCCAGUCAACAUGAGGUUCCCAUGGGAGGAUCGCUUCAUUGCCCUGUCGGGAACUGUCCUGGUCCCAUGCCACAGGCCUAAGUGGACAGAUGCAGAGGGAUCAGAGUCACUAGCAGCACAAGGUUUGGGGCAGGGACGCAGGCGAGGGACUUUUCAGCCUUGCCUCUGCCACUCAUUCCAGGCCCUGCUUCAGACAGACUGGAGAUUUCAGAAACAGAGCCUGGUAAACUCUAUUUAAUUUUUUUUCUUUUAUGCUGCAGCAUUUUGAACCAGUGAAUCACCACAUUCUUGUAUUGGGAUGGUUCCGAAGGAGGUGACAUUGGCUGGACUCACAGGAGAGACUUGAGUUAGACAGGCGGGAGAACUUCCUGGUUUGAAGGGCACAACAGGGGGAUGAUAGAGUGGCUGUCAUUCUUGCUCUUUCACCCCACCCCACCCCCUUUCCCUUCACUCUUUAGCACAUUUCCUCCCCUUUCUUCUUGCAUUUCACUGGUCGGUGUUUGCCAGAGCCAGGGGAGAGCUCAUUACCUCAGCCUUGAUCAUGGCUUUGGGGGAACUGGCACAGGUGCUAUAAUCCCGUGUGCUGGGAGGGCCCAGUGAUGACAGCCUUAUGUUAAACUGAUGUGUUCUCAUUUCUGUUGAGGAUGACUAUAUUUCUAUACACUUUAUUUCACCCUUUAAACAUUUAUGUUCCUGUGUCAUGAUUAAUUAAGUGCAGUAAAAUGAAGUGUUUGCAAAGUUAAAAAAAAAAUACCCAAAACCCCUCCCUUCUCUGGAGUCUUUGUACUUCACUUUCUUUGCUACAAAUGUCAGCCCAUCUUUCUCUUUGUUCUUUUCUCCUGUUGGUCUGUCACCUUUCUUUAUUUCUCCCUUCCUCUCCUCCAGGCCAGGCUUUCAGUCCCCACUCCAGCAAAGGAUCUAUGGAUGCCAAAUGCUUUCAAGACAACAGGGGGUUAGUCUAACCAGAGAGCCGGCCCUCCUCUUGCCUCUCCAUCCCGCCUCUGCUUCCCCUGCCCUCCUCUCCCCUUCCUUCCUCUUCUCUUUUUUUUCAUCCAUCUCUUCCCAUUUUCCUAUCCUAUCAGAUCCCUCUCAUAAUGAGAGUUUAAUCCAGAAAAGGGCAGUGACUGGAAGAGCGAGCCCACAAUGUCACAACUGGGGGAAAUUCAACAAUGAUGGUGAGUGGGUACCUCUUGGGCCCAAGUCAGAGAUGAUGAGGAGUUACGGGCAUGAGAACAUUCUGGGGUCACCAUCUCUACUUGCAGGCAGAUAGUCUUAAUGAGUUGACUAGAAGUCUACAUAUAAGUUACCCUCAAAGUUAAUUUGUUUAAACCUCCAAUACUCGAUUCUUAGCCGGUCAGAAAAAGAGCCUUGUUGAGCGCUGGUUUAGAGACGCCUCCAUCCAAGGUUUCAUGGAUUUACUAAAGGCUUUCAGAUCAGACUUCAAGGUGCUGCUGGACAAAUAUUCACUUGACGAAGGUGCUCGUACUUCAAGGAACACUCUCCUUGCUCGGUGGGCUCAUUAAAAUGCAGGUUUGGAGUUCCUGUUGUGGCUCAGCAGGUUAAGAACCUGACUAGUAUCCAUGAGGAUGCAGAUUUGAUCCCUGGCCUCGCUCAGUGGGUUACGGAUCCAGCGUUGCUGCAAGUUGUGGUGUAGGUCACAGAAAUGGCUCGGAUCUGCCGUGGCUGUGGCUGUGGCUGUGGGGUAGGCCUACAGCUGAAGCUCCAAUUUGAUCCCUAGCCUGAGAACUUCCAUAUGCAGCAGGUGCAAUUGUAAAAAACGAGGAACAAUAACAAUGACAAACAACACAGGUUCUUAGACCUCCUCUCUAAAGAUCUAGGUUCAGUGUGACGGAGAAGGGGCCCAAGAAGCCACCCUUUCAAGGAGGUCUUUGAUGAUUCUAAAGCAGGCCAUUCCUUGACUGCAUUCCAAGAAACACCGCUUAAAUGAAUAAAGGCCAUUGUUACUCUUGAGACGAGAGUGAGGCAAACACUCUGAGUGGCUCUUGAGGGUGCACAAGUGUUUGUGUUCUCAUUGUACAUAAAAUCUCUGUGGGCCACUGAGUGGGAGGCAAGGAAAUAGAAGCCCAGGUCUGCAUCCCCUGUCUUCAAUUGCUCCUCCAAGAUUGCCCCUGGGGGAAUUCAGCUAUAUCGCAGUGUGGCUGGGGACCCACCUUUCUUGCAUUCACUCCCCUAGGUCCUUAUCCUGGGCAUUUACUGUAUAAACUUACAAACAAGCCAGGAAAAUAAAAGAAUUCAUAUCAUACAGCAGACAUAGCACAACACUGUAAAGUUACUAUCCUUCAAUUAAAAAAAUUAACUUCAAAUAAGAUAAAAUAAUAAGGGCGUUCCCCUUGUGGCUCAGUGGUAACGGACAGGACUAGCAUCCAUGAGGACGCAGGUUCGAUCCCUGACCUCGCUCAGUGGGUUAAGGAUCCAGUGUUGCUGUGAGCUGUGGUGUAGGGCACAGACGCACCUCGGAUCCUGCAUUGCUUCGGCUGUGGUGUAGUCCAGCAGCUGCAGCUCUGACUCGACCUGGAGCCUGGGAACCUCCAUAUCCCACAGGUGCGGCCCUAAAAAGACCCUAGUAAAAUAAAAUAAGAUAACUAUUGCAGGAGUAGUGUCAGUAGACAUCCCUGGAUGAAGGUCUAGGACAAUAGCCAGCCCAGGGUGCCCCGCGGUCUGUAUGGAAAUGAUUCUGAGGACCCCUCACAGCACGGCCUUUCCUCUGAAGCUAUCAGACAGCAGGGCAGCCAGAAGCCUUUGCUCAAUGGUGUUUGGGGGCCACUUUGUGGCUUCUGACCAAGCCGGAGUCUCAGGGCCUGGCUCCAGGGGCUUGAGGACGAACCCCAGUGUCCCAGCAAAGUUCACAUGGGUGGGUCUCCUUAUUCCACUUUAAAACCUUUAGCCCCUUGCUCAGGUCCUCCUUCUUGCUCUCCUCCCUUAAGUGUGGUCUGUGGUCAGUUGGUCCUUGCUGCGCAACUCAGGGCAGGAUGUUUUCCUGCUCGUGGCUUGGCCUGCUAAUUG